Syzygium oleosum is the source of this 780-nucleotide long non-coding RNA. RefSeq lists it as uncharacterized. The transcript has 3 exons. Lineage: Eukaryota; Viridiplantae; Streptophyta; Magnoliopsida; Myrtales; Myrtaceae. The record is from RefSeq and is a predicted model, not a curated record.
AAGUCUCAAGCGUUGAAACCCUAUCUUCUUCCUCCAUUGCGACAACACAGAGAAUUUUGCGGCCGCGCAAUCCAUCAUUUUCUCCAUUAACGCCUCUCGAGAAGGUCUCCUCUCUAUCGCAUUUUGCUUCCUUUUGGUAGAAGGAGGAACGUACCUAAAACUUGGGUUUUAGGACUUGCGAGCGAGGAGAGCUUUUUGAGUCCAGUAGAGGUCGACGAUUUGCAAACCCCAGCUUCAGCUUCGAUCCACCAGCAUCUGUAUCGACUGACUCAUGUCUUUGUCGACGGAUUCUAGCCUCCCAAAUAGAAGGAAGAGAUCCAUUAUGUGGGAUCACUUUAAAAGGAUUUCAUGUGCAGACAAGAAUCAAGAAAAGGCUGAAUGUUUAUAUUACGGGGUCCACAUUGGUUGUUCUAGUACUUAAGGGACUAGUUCAAUGCAUCAUCAUUUAGAUAGAUGUAAGGAAGAUCUAUAUGCAAACAUCGAGAAAAGGCAAAAAAUGCCUCGGAUCAACCUAUUGGGGUUGGUACUUCACCAUGGAAAUUUGACCAGGAUGCUAGUAGAAAAGAACUAGCGACCAUGUUCAUUCUUGAUGAAUUGCCCUUUAAGUUUGUAGAAAAUGAGGGUUUUCAGCGAUUUAUGUAUAGAAUCUAGCCAAAGUUCUCAAUCCCUACGCGUAACACGUUGAGGAGUGAUUGUUAUGCAUUAUACGUGGAGGAAAGAAGAAAAUUGAUGAAAUAUUUUGCCGACACACGUCCUAGAGUUUGUUUGACGACCGACAAA